Leucoraja erinaceus (little skate) is the source of this 381-nucleotide long non-coding RNA. RefSeq lists it as uncharacterized. Lineage: Eukaryota; Metazoa; Chordata; Chondrichthyes; Rajiformes; Rajidae. The transcript has 2 exons. The record is from RefSeq and is a predicted model, not a curated record.
AGUGGACAACCCGGCCCGUGUGAGGAGGAUGAGGAGACGGCGGCGCAGGUAGUGGACAACCCGGGCCCACUAUGGCGGGAGGCUGCAGGGAGCCAACACUGUCAGCCAUCCAUCCAUUCUGCUGUGUAUCCCUUAAUUAGUAUAUUCUGACUUACUAAUUAAGAGAUACACAGUAGGAAUUGAAGGUCUGUUGGAAAUUUGGAUAUAUUACAGGUGCUGCCCGACCUGCUGAGUUUCUCCAAUGGUUUGUUUAUUUUUGCUCCAACAUCAGCAGCCUUUACCAGAUAUCACUAAAUAUCUGUUCAUUAUUUGCCUGGUGUAAAAUUUUGAUUGGAAAGGCUCCUGCUCAUGAUUUUACAACAAUAAAAGGAAUGAAAUAAA